GACGAACCGUGCGAACGUUGUUCGGAUUCACUGGGCUUAAAGGGCGCGUAGGCGGGCCAUCAAGUCCGGGGUGAAAGCCCCCAGCUCAACUGGGGAAGUGCCUCGGAUACUGACGGCCUCGAGGGGGGUAGGGGCGGGCGGAACUUCCGGUGGAGCGGUGAAAUGCGUAGAUAUCGGAAGGAACGCCGGUGGCGAAAGCGGCCCGCUGGACCCUCUCUGACGCUGAGGCGCGAAAGCCAGGGGAGCAAACGGG
Molecule: ribosomal RNA, 253 nt
Filed under: uncultured bacterium
Lineage: Bacteria
Description: partial 16S ribosomal RNA
Rfam family: Bacterial small subunit ribosomal RNA
Source: RNAcentral